GACGAACGCUGGCGGCGUGCUUAACACAUACAAGUCGAACGGUAAGGCCCCUCGGGGUACACGAGUGGCGAACGGGUGAGUAACACGUGGGUGAUCUGCCCUGCACUUCGGGAUAAGCCUGGGAAACUGGGUCUAAUACCGGAUAGGACCCUGGGAUGCAUGUCCUGGGGUGGAAAGCUUUUGCGGUGUGGGAUGGGCCCGCGGCCUAUCAGCUUGUUGGUGGGGUGAUGGCCUACCAAGGCGACGACGGGUAGCCGGCCUGAGAGGGUGACCGGCCACACUGGGACUGAGAUACGGCCCAGACUCCUACGGGAGGCAGCAGUGGGGAAUAUUGCACAAUGGGCGCAAGCCUGAUGCAGCGACGCCGCGUGAGGGGUGACGGCCUUCGGGUUGUAAACCUCUUUCAGCACCGACGAAGCGCAAGUGACGGUAGGUGCAGAAGAAGGACCGGCCAACUACGUGCCAGCCGCCGCAGUAA
Molecule: ribosomal RNA, 478 nt
Filed under: uncultured bacterium
Lineage: Bacteria
Description: partial 16S ribosomal RNA
Rfam family: Bacterial small subunit ribosomal RNA
Source: RNAcentral